Molecule: ribosomal RNA, 866 nt
Filed under: Coltriciella pusilla
Lineage: Eukaryota; Fungi; Basidiomycota; Agaricomycetes; Hymenochaetales; Hymenochaetaceae
Description: eukaryotic LSU rRNA
Rfam family: Eukaryotic large subunit ribosomal RNA
Source: RNAcentral
UAACAAGGAUUCCCCUAGUAACUGCGAGUGAAGCGGGAAGAGCUCAAAUUUAAAAUCUGGCAGCUCUGCUGUCCGAGUUGUAAUCUGUAGAAGCAUUUUCUGCGUUGGACUGUGUACAAGUCUCUUGGAAUAGAGCGUCAUAGAGGGUGAGAAUCCCGUCCAUGACACAGAUUACCAAUGCUUUGUGAUAUGCUCUCAAAGAGUCGAGUUGUUUGGGAAUGCAGCUCAAAAUGGGUGGUAAAUUCCAUCUAAAGCUAAAUAUAGGCGAGAGACCGAUAGCGAACAAGUACCGUGAGGGAAAGAUGAAAAGCACUUUGGAAAGAGAGUUAAACAGUACGUGAAAUUGUUGAAAGGGAAACGCUUGAAGUCAGUUGCAUUCUGCAGGACUCAGCCUUGCCUUAUUAGGCCCGGUGUAUUUCCUGCAGGAUGGGUCAACAUCAAUUUUGGUCAGUGGAUAAAGGAGGAGGGAAUGUGGCACCUGUGAAGGUGUGUUAUAGCCUUCUUUCAUAUACAUUGACUGGGAUUGAGGAUUGCAGCAUGCCCUUUGUGGCCAGACUUCAUGUCACAUGCUUAGGAUGUUGACAAAAUGGCUUUAAGCGACCCGUCUUGAAACACGGACCAAGGAGUCUAACAUGCCUGCAAGUGUUUGGGUGGAAAACCCUUGCGCACAAUGAAAGUGAAAGUUGGGAACCUCCGCAAGGGGGUGCACUGACACCCGGCCCUGAUGUUUACUGACGGUGCUGCGGUAGAGCAUGUAUGUUGGGACCCGAAAGAUGGUGAACUAUGCCUGAAUAGGGUGAAGCCAGAGGAAACUCUGGUGGAGGCUCGUAGCGAUUCUGACGUGCAAAUCGAUCGUCAAAUUUGGG